RNAcentral lists this ribosomal RNA (477 nucleotides) under uncultured bacterium. RNAcentral's name for it is "bacterial SSU rRNA". It matches the Rfam family "Bacterial small subunit ribosomal RNA", at positions 365 to 832 of the family's 1533-position model. The record is from RNAcentral.
UUCGCAAUGCCCGAAAGGGUGACGAAGCGACGCCGCGUGUGGGAAGAAGGCCUUCGGGUUGUAAACCACUGUCGGGAGUUAAGAAAUGUAAGAAUGUUAAUAGCGUUCUUACUUGACAAAGGCUCCGGAGGAAGCCACGGCUAACUCUGUGCCAGCAGCCGCGGUAAUACAGAGGCGGCAAGCGUUGUUCGGAAUUAUUGGGCGUAAAGAGCACGUAGGCGGCCUUGCAAGUCAGUUGUGAAAGCCUUCUGCUUAACGGAAGAACAGCAGCUGAUACUACAGGGCUUGAGUGCGGAAGGGGAGAGUGGAACUUUUGGUGGAGCGGUGAAAUGCGUAGAUAUCAGAAGGAACGCCGGCGGCGAAAGCGGCUCUCUGGUCCGAAACUGACGCUGAGUGUGCGAAAGCUAGGGGAUCAAACGGGAUUAGAUACCCCGGUAGUCCUAGCCGUAAACGAUGGGCACUAAGUAGAGGGGUUUU